Molecule: long non-coding RNA, 458 nt
Organism: Fundulus heteroclitus (mummichog)
Lineage: Eukaryota; Metazoa; Chordata; Actinopteri; Cyprinodontiformes; Fundulidae
Exons: 3
Source: RefSeq, a predicted model, not a curated record
CACAAGCUUGACAACAUCUCCAAAAAAACUGCCACCAUGUCUGGGAUUGAUGAUGCAAUCAAGACUCUGAAGAAAAUCUUUCAUAAGUACGCUCAAAGAGAUGGAAAGAAAACCACCAUUUCCAAGCGGGAGGUUGCUAGACUCCUUAAAACUGAGUGUCCUGGAUUUCUAAUAACGAGGACUAAGGCCGAAGUGACUGAGCAUUUCAAGGAGAUGGAUGAGGAUGGCGAUGGUGUUGUUGAUUUUGCCGAGUACAUGAAAUUUGUUGGUAAACUUGCUGAAUUCAGUAAAUGUUUUGACCUGGUUUGAAAGCUCUGCUUUCUUCUCUAUUUUCCUAUUAAUGAUUAUUCUUCAGUGUGAGAUAAAGCAGAAAGCUGUGACAUGCAGAAUGUCUGCAGUUACCCAUAACUGUAUAACAUUGUGAAAAAAUGGGAAAUUAAAUAUUAUUGGCACUUCAA